AAAAUAUUGCUCCUGGGAAGUUGUGUCACAUUUCCUUUCUUAGGAGCAACAACAAACAGAAGCAAGUUAAAAAUAAUUAUGGAGAAUUUAUCAACAAUUGACAAGUUUCUACUAAGAAAUAUUUCAGGAAACACAUAUAAGGGAGAAUUUUACUUUCUGAUCUUCCAAAUUCUGCUUAUAAUUGCAGUUCUGAUUGCUUAAUGUCCACUGGCCCAAGUUUUACUUGAGGUUUCGAUUGUUGGUCUACGGUGAGCCAUGGUUGUGUUGACUGUGCCUGGAUUGUGAACUUCAACAUUGUGAAACCUUCGGCCAAAAUACUAGAAAUAGGGGAACCCAUCGGUGUAUCAUCAUCCUGCUGCCACCAAGUGUUGAAUUCAAAAUAAUUUUGGUUAACGGUUACUGCAAGAAGGUCAUAUAUCUCUCUUUGUAAUUCUUCAUCCCAUGGUUGUAAUUUAGUUUUUAUAAGUUCUAAUGUUUUUAUUAUUGUAAUGUUGGUAUAUAAAUUAGAAAUGUUGAGCGUUAUGAGCGUUUUGAUUUUUUAACAAACAAAUAAAACAAAUCAAUAUACGCAGAGCAAGAAGUGCAACAGAUUUUAAUUGACAGACCUGAUGAUGAUGAGAUAACAUCGAAACAUGUCGUCAAAUGUAAAAUGUAACAAGAU
Zootermopsis nevadensis is the source of this 661-nucleotide non-coding RNA. The record is from RefSeq and is a predicted model, not a curated record. Lineage: Eukaryota; Metazoa; Arthropoda; Insecta; Blattodea; Termopsidae.